GAAGACACAGAGGUAAGAAAAGGGAAAUAUCAUUUUCUCAUUCAUCCCCUUGCUUGUUAUUUACAUGGAUAUAUAUAGCAUUCCUCUUAACAAAUCUGUGCUAUUCUGCUCAAGGAAUAUUACAUCAUAACAGAAUUUGUUAUGCACGAAUCAAGCAAGAUUUUCCUAAUUACUGUAUUGCCCAUACUGCCCUCUGCUUCAAACAAAAUCACGAAGGUAUGAUGGCCCUGCUAUCCUUCUCUUGGACCUUUCUUUUUACACCUCUGGUUUGCUGAUUGUUACCAUUGCCUUCUCUGUUCCAGCUUCCUUGUUGCCUAUUUCUGGUAUCCUAUCAUUUCCCGCCCUCAUCAAAAACACCUUGUCCUCAAGGUGUUGGGCGUUCAAACUACAGCUUCCAAAAGCAAUACCGGGGUCCCAAGGUUCAUUCCGACGAACCUGCAAUUCCACAAAGUAUCCGUGAGGAAGGAACAUCACGCGAAAAAGAGUUGGAGCAGUCCAACAAGGUAAGCUCAGAGAGAUCGAUAGUGGAGGCUGGAAGAAGGUGUGGGGACUUCUCCCAACAACAAGGAGGACCACUCGAAUGCCGGAGAGAAGGCCGGCAAGGCGCAAAAUUCCCGGUGUGAAAUCUCCCGAUAAGGAUUUCAGACCAAUUUGGGCCGGGUCCGGUUUGGGUGUGGGGUGUGCGGCCGGGUCGUGUGUGGGUUUUGGCCUUGGGUCAGGGGUGGGUUUUGGAUCUGGGUCAGGUAUGGGUUUUGGGUCAAGUCCUGUGGAUCCGGGUGUGGGUAGUUGCGGGUCAGGGUGCUUUAUAUUAGGACCCAAUGGGUCUGUGGGUUCCUCAUUCACUACGAUGAAGGGAAGAACCCUAGAGACCUCGCGACGGCCGCCAUGGAGCUUCUCCUCGCCUGUGAGGCACAGCCCGUGCUCAUGGCGCGAGGCUAACUCCUCCGGGGUGAGGCAGCUAAUGGUCGGGGCCUGUGGGGGUCGCGGCGGGGAUGGCAGCAAAGGGGGCAAGGUUGCGAUGUGAGGAGGAACCAAAGGGGCGGAUGGUGGAGCUACCAGAGGUGGGGUUCGCGGCCGCGAAGACGUUUGCUGCUCCAGGAGCUUCGCGAGGCCGGCGGCCUGGUCCACAGUCGUAGGCUGAUGGGCCUGAACUGUACGGCGGAUCUCCGGUUGCAAACCUGAGAUGAAGCAAGGCAACAGGAAGGUGCCCGGCAAGCCGAUAAUUCUACUGGCUAAGGCUUCAAACUCCAGUAGGUAUGUGAGCACUGACCCCGUCUGAGUGAGUUUGAACAGGGCACCGACAGGGUCCUCAAAUGGAGAUGGUGCGAACCAGGGUGUUGCAGGAGCAAAAGUGGCUUGAUGAGGAACCGGUGGGGAUUUGGAUGUGGGGGGGAAAGGCACAGGAGCAUGGCGGGUGAAAAAUGGGUUCAGGUGGCGGUUCAUGGAGUGCAUGGCGUCGUCCAGACGAGCAAGGGCCUCGUCGAGGUUGCGGGAGGCCAUGAGGAACAAUGAUGAAAGCACCAAUUGUUAGGGUAUGAACCCUAAAGCUGGCUUCGAGGGCAGCAAACCUCCAGCAAGAAGAAGAAGACACAGAGGUAAGAAAAGGGAAAUAUCAUUUUCUCAUUCAUCCCCUUGCUUGUUAUUUACAUGGAUAUAUAUAGCAUUCCUCUUAACAAAUCUGUGCUAUUCUGCUCAAGGAAUAUUACAUCAUAACAGAAUUUGUUUUGCACGAAUCAAGCAAGAUUUUCCUAAUUACUGUAUUGCCCAUACUGCCCUCUGCUUCAAACAAAAUCACGAAGGUAUGAUGGCCCUGCUAUCCUUCUCUUGGACCUUUCUUUUUACACCUCUGGUUUGCUGAUUGUUACCAUUGCCUUCUCUGUUCCAGCUUCCUUGUU
RNAcentral lists this long non-coding RNA (1895 nucleotides) under Glycine max (soybean). Its description in RNAcentral is "long non-coding RNA (GMAX_LNC004026)". The record is from RNAcentral. Lineage: Eukaryota; Viridiplantae; Streptophyta; Magnoliopsida; Fabales; Fabaceae.